This 822-nucleotide ribosomal RNA is filed under the name uncultured Glomeraceae. Its description in RNAcentral is "eukaryotic LSU rRNA". It matches the Rfam family "Eukaryotic large subunit ribosomal RNA", at positions 1 to 678 of the family's 3401-position model. Lineage: Eukaryota; Fungi; Glomeromycota; Glomeromycetes; Glomerales; Glomeraceae. The record is from RNAcentral.
CCUCAAAUCAGGUAGGAGUACCCGCUGAACUUAAGCAUAUCAAUAAGCGGAGGAAAAGAAAAUAACAAUGAUUCCCCUAGUAACUGCGAGUGAAGAGGGACAAGCUCAAAUUUUAAAUCUGUUAGGUUUACCUAACCGAGUUGUAAUUUGAAGAGGCGUUUUCUGCGCAGUUUGGUCAGCCCAAGUCCUAUUGAAUGAGGCAUCAUGGAGGGUGAUAAUCCCGUCCGGCUGAUCAUUGCGUUUUACGAUACGCUUUCUAAGAGUCAAGUUGUUUGGGAUUGCAGCUUAAAAUGGGAGGUAAAUUUCUCCUAAGGCUAAAUAUUGGCGAGAGACCGAUAGCGAACAAGUACCGUGAGGGAAAGAUGAAAAGUACUUUGAAAAGAGAGUUAAAUAGCACGUGAAAUUGUUGAAAGGGAAACGAUUGAAGCCAGUCGUACCUGCGGACAAUCAGCCUUUCGGGUGAAAUUAUGUGGAGCGUGGGGAGCUAAACACCUUCAUGCCUGCGUAUUUGUAUUCUGGGGUGUACUUGGACGUGCGGUAGGUUAACAUCAAUUUCGGGCGUCAUAAAAUGGCUGGAGGAAUGUAGCUUCGGUCUCGUGCUGAAGUGUUAUAGCCUUCGGCAGAUGUGGUGACCGGGAUUGAGGAUUGCAACGAAUACCUUUUGGGCUAUCCGCCUGAUCUCUGAAAGUUGCUCUGGUGCCGAAAGCUUGCUUACGGUUAUCAAAGUUGACGUUCAAAAGGUUAGAACGGGUUAAAUUCGUUAAGGAUGUUGACGUAAUGGCUUUAAACGACCCGUCUUGAAACACGGACCAAGGAGUCUAA